AGUGAACGCUGGCGGCAUGCCUAACACAUGCAAGUCGAACGGCAGCACAGUAAGAGCUUGCUCUUACGGUUGGCGAGUGGCGGACGGGUGAGGAAUACAUCGGAAUCUACUUUUUCGUGGGUGAUAACGUAGGGAAACUUACGCUAAUACCUCAUACGACCUACGGGUGAAAGCAGUGGAUCUUCGGACCUUGCCCGAUUGAAUGAGACGAUGUCGGAUUAGCUAGUUGGCGGGGUAAAGGCCCACCAAGGCGACGAUCCGUAGCUGGUCUGAGAGGAUGAUCAGCCACACUGGAACUGAGACACGGUCCAGACUCCUACGGGAGGCAGCAGUGGGGAAUAUUGGACAAUGGGCGCAAGCCUGAUCCAGCCAUACCGCGUGGGUGAAGAAGGCCUUCGGGUUGUAAAGCCCUUUUGUUGGGAAAGAAAAGCAGCAGGUUAAUACCCCGCUGUUCUGACGGUACCCAAAGAAUAAGCACCGGCUAACUUCGUG
This 492-nucleotide ribosomal RNA is filed under the name uncultured bacterium. RNAcentral describes it as "partial 16S ribosomal RNA". It matches the Rfam family "Bacterial small subunit ribosomal RNA", at positions 29 to 507 of the family's 1533-position model. The record is from RNAcentral.